RNAcentral lists this ribosomal RNA (411 nucleotides) under Verrucomicrobiota bacterium. RNAcentral's name for it is "Verrucomicrobia bacterium partial 16S ribosomal RNA". It matches the Rfam family "Bacterial small subunit ribosomal RNA", at positions 355 to 776 of the family's 1533-position model. The record is from RNAcentral. Lineage: Bacteria; Pseudomonadati; Verrucomicrobiota.
UGGGGAAUCUUGCGCAAUGGGGGAAACCCUGACGCAGCGACGCCGCGUGCGGGAUGAAGGCCUUCGGGUUGUAAACCGCCUUCAGCAGGGACGAGGCCUUAUGGUGACGGUACCUGCAGAAGAAGCUCCGGCUAAAUACGUGCCAGCAGCCGCGGUAAUACGUAUGGAGCAAGCGUUAUCCGGAUUCAUUGGGCGUAAAGCGCUCGUAGGCGGUCUGUUAGGUCGGCAAGUUAAAUCCGGGGGCUCAACCCCCGUCCGCUUCCGAUACCGGCAGACUUGAGUUUGGUAGGGGAAGGUGGAAUUCCUAGUGUAGCGGUGGAAUGCGCAGAUAUUAGGAAGAACACCGGUGGCGAAGGCGGCCUUCUGGGCCAUAACUGACGCUGAGGAGCGAAAGCUAGGGGAGCGAACAGG